This is a non-coding RNA of Erinaceus europaeus (western European hedgehog), 98 nucleotides long. NCBI's taxonomy places the organism in Eukaryota, Metazoa, Chordata, Mammalia, Eulipotyphla, Erinaceidae. The record is from Rfam.
CGCAGGGUCUCUUGGAGCGGAGCACUCGGGAAACCCUGCAAUUCGGGCAAGACUUGGGCUGCUUUGAAGGCGCUGCCAUCCGAGGAGCCUUCUCCUGG